UGAAACAUUUCCAUUAGGUGCUAACGUGA
Molecule: non-coding RNA, 29 nt
Filed under: Mus musculus (house mouse)
Lineage: Eukaryota; Metazoa; Chordata; Mammalia; Rodentia; Muridae
Source: RNAcentral